Molecule: ribosomal RNA, 443 nt
Filed under: uncultured bacterium
Lineage: Bacteria
Description: partial 16S ribosomal RNA
Rfam family: Bacterial small subunit ribosomal RNA
Source: RNAcentral
CCUACGGGAGGCUGCAGUGGGGAAUAUUGGGCAAUGGGCGCAAGCCUGACCCAGCAACGCCGCGUGAAGGAAGAAGGCUUUCGGGUUGUAAACUUCUUUUCUCAGGGACGAAGCAAGUGACGGUACCUGAGGAAUAAGCCACGGCUAACUACGUGCCAGCAGCCGCGGUAAUGCGUAGGUGGCAAGCGUUAUCCGGAUUUACUGGGUGUAAAGGGCGUGUAGGCGGGAAAGCAAGUCAAAUGUGAAAACCAUGGGCUCAACCUGUGGCCUGCAUUUGAAACUGUUUUUCUUGAGUACUGGAGAGGCAGACGGAAUUCCUAGUGUAGCGGUGAAAUGCGUAGAUAUUAGGAGGAACACCAGUGGCGAAGGCGGUCUGCUGAACAGCAACUGACGCUGAGGCGCGAAAGCGUGGGGAGCAAACAGGAUUAGAUACCCCGGUAGUC